RNAcentral lists this transfer RNA (73 nucleotides) under Osteolaemus tetraspis (dwarf crocodile). Its description in RNAcentral is "tRNA-Phe". Lineage: Eukaryota; Metazoa; Chordata; Crocodylia; Crocodylidae. The record is from RNAcentral.
GUAGCUUAAAUCACUAAAGCAUAACACUGAAAAUGUUAAAAUGGAUAAACAAAUCCCGAGUGGCAACAAUCUA